AUUGAACUCGCUGUGAAGAUGCAGUGUACCCGCGGCAAGACGGAAAGACCCCGUGAACCUUUACUAUAGCUUGACACUGAACAUUGAGCCUUGAUGUGUAGGAUAGGUGGGAGGCUUUGAAGUGUGGACGCCAGUCUGCAUGGAGCCGACCUUGAAAUACCACCCUUUAAUGUUUGAUGUUCUAACGUGGGCCCCUUACCGGGGUUGCGGACAGUGUCUGGUGGGUAGUUUGACUGGGGCGGUCUCCUCCUAAAGAGUAACGGAGGAGCACGAAGGUUGGCUAAUCCUGGUCGGACAUCAGGAGGUUAGUGCAAUGGCAUAAGCCAGCUUGACUGCGAGCGUGACGGCGCGAGCAGGUGCGAAAGCAGGUCAUAGUGAUCCGGUGGUUCUGAAUGGAAGGGCCAUCGCUCAACGGAUAAAAGGUACUCCGGGGAUAACAGGCUGAUACCGCCCAAGAGUUCAUAUCGACGGCGGUGUUUGGCACCUCGAUGUCGGCUCAUCACAUCCUGGGGCUGAAGUAGGUCCCAAGGGUAUGGCUGUUCGCCAUUUAAAGUGGUACGCGAGCUGGGUUUAGAACGUCGUGAGACAGUUCGGUCCCUAUCUGCCGUGGGCGCUGGAGAACUGAGGGGGGCUGCUCCUAGUACGAGAGGACCGGAGUGGACGCAUCACUGGUGUUCGGGUUGUCAUGCCAAUGGCACUGCCCGGUAGCUAAAUGCGGAAGAGAUAAGUGCUGAAAGCAUCUAAGCACGAAACUUGCCCCGAGAUGAGUUCUCCCUGACUCCUUGAGAGUCCUGAAGGAACGUUGAAGACGACGACGUUGAUAGGCCGGGUGUGUAAGCGCAGCGAUGCGUUGAGCUAACCGGUACUAAUGAACCGUGAGGCUUAACCUU
Molecule: ribosomal RNA, 890 nt
Filed under: Escherichia coli
Lineage: Bacteria; Pseudomonadati; Pseudomonadota; Gammaproteobacteria; Enterobacterales; Enterobacteriaceae
Description: partial 23S ribosomal RNA
Rfam family: Bacterial large subunit ribosomal RNA
Source: RNAcentral